Molecule: regulatory RNA element, 110 nt
Organism: Staphylococcus epidermidis RP62A
Lineage: Bacteria; Bacillati; Bacillota; Bacilli; Caryophanales; Staphylococcaceae
Rfam family: TPP riboswitch aptamer (THI element)
About the family: Vitamin B(1) in its active form thiamin pyrophosphate (TPP) is an essential coenzyme that is synthesised by coupling of pyrimidine and thiazole moieties in bacteria.
Source: Rfam
UUUAACCACUGGAAGUGCCUUUGUUUAAGGCUGAGAGUAAAGAACUGACUUUAUAAUUCCUGGAACCUGAUCCAGUUCAUACUGGCGUAGGGAAGUGGCGACGCUCAAUU